GAUGAACGCUGGCGGCGUGCCUAAUACAUGCAAGUCGAGCGAACGGACGAGAAGCUUGCUUCUCUGAUGUUAGCGGCGGACGGGUGAGUAACACGUGGAUAACCUACCUAUAGGAGUGGGAUAACUUCGGGAAACCGGAGCUAAUACCGGAUAAUAUUUUGAACCGGAUGGGGCAAAAGUGAAAGACGGUCUUGCUGUCACUUAUAGAGGGAUCCGCGCUGCAUUAGCUAGUUGGUAAGGUAACGGCCUACCAAGGCGACGAUGCGUAGCUGAUCUGAGAGGAUGAUCAGUCACACUGGAACUGAGACACGGUCCAGACUCCUACGGGAGGCAGCAGUGGGGAAUAUUGGACAAUGGGCGAAAGCCUGAUCCAGCCAUGCCGCGUGUGUGAAGAAGGUCUUCGGAUUGUAAAGCACUGUAAGUUGGGAGGAAGGGCAGUAAGUUAAUACCUGGCUGUUUUGACGUUACCAACAGAAUAAGCACCGGCUAACUUCGUG
RNAcentral lists this ribosomal RNA (497 nucleotides) under uncultured bacterium. RNAcentral's name for it is "partial 16S ribosomal RNA". It matches the Rfam family "Bacterial small subunit ribosomal RNA", at positions 28 to 507 of the family's 1533-position model. The record is from RNAcentral.